AAAAGCUACUGCAACGGUUUUAAUUAACUAAAAAAACAAUUAUCGGUUUCUUACAUCUUUCACUCCUUCAAUAAUUUUUCAUAAAGUUUUUAGUUGCUACAAAGAAUACAAUUCUCUCCGUGAAGUCGAGGGCCUGUUUUGCGUUGAUUUAAUUCUUCAAAUAUCCAAACCAAGAGCUGUCACAUUAUGCCCUGAAGAUUUCAUCAAUUCUUCAAUCUUAUUCCUGUACCAGGCUCCAUGGCAUAUCCAUUUCAUUAAGUCUCAAACCCACCCAAAAAGAAAUCACUCCGACCAAUUCUCUCAAAUCGACCACCACUUUAAGAAGCCAAAAAGUGCGGCCACUGCUGCUCCGACUUCAGCUCCUCCACUGCUCCGACAACCACUUCGAUUUCCGAGAAAAUUUGUCAUUUUCUUCUUUAAUUUGGUGAUUUUAAGGAAUUUAACCACAUGUUACACAAUGCCGUGAUGAUCUACCACAAGUACUUGAAGACGGAUAUGGAGGAUGGCUAAGUCAAAACAUAAUGUAUUCUGGAUACUUUCCACCUGUAAUUCUUGAAAGGACUUCACUGCAUAUGAGGAUGUUUGCUUCAAGGAAUUUGGUGAUAGGGUUUUGUAUUGGACUACUGUGAAUGAGGCCAAUGUAUUUGCUUUGGGUAGUUAUGAUACGGGAUCUACUCCCCAGGGCGUUGUUCCCCAGCUUUUGAAAUAAGACCUUGUUCUAGGUGCAACCCUCCAACCAAACCAUACAUAGAAGCUCAUAAUAUACUGCUUACUCAUUCAUCUGUUGUCAGAUUGUACAAGAGAAAGUACAAGUUAACUCAACAUGGUUUUAUGGGAUUAAAUAUCUUUGCAUACUGGUUUAUUUCUCAUACAAACACGAUGGCAGCUGAAGCUGCAACUCUGCGAUCUUAUGAUUUCUACCUCGAUUGGUUCACCAGUCCUUUGAUAUUUGGAGAUUAUCCUGUCACAAUGAAAAGGAGGGUCGGUUCGAGGAUGCCCGCAUUUACCAUACAGCAAUCUAAGCAAGUUAAGGGUGCUAUGGAAUUCAUAGGUGUAAAUCAUUGUACAACAAUCUAAGCAAGUUAAGGGUGUUAUAGACUUCAUAGGCCUAAAUCAUUAUACUACAGUGAGUGUUAAAGACUGGCUUGAUGCCCUUGCAAGAGAUUUAAGGGACUUCAACAUCGAUUCAGGAGCUCAAAUUGAAUGUAAGUGACUGAUGCUGCAUAAAUAGAGAUGCUUCGAUGUAUUGGCAUUGUUGAUCAAGUUAAUCUAGUGAUAAAUUCAGAAAAUCCAAAUGAGAAGACCAAUCCAGUUUUCUAGUUGAUGCCAUCAGUAUUUUUCUGUUAUUAUUUGUUCAUAUGAAGAAAUUCUUAUGUUUUUUAAAUUCUUUAACGGGUUUUUUGAUUUGAACAGUCAAGCAUGUUGGUGAUCCACCAAAAAGCGAGGUGAGUUUCUCCCUUAGGCUUGGGACAUGCAUGAUCUUUAUAUGCACCUUGGCGUUAUUUUAUCUGUUAUUCACAUGUUGUUUUGACUCAGUUUCUAGUACACAACCGGGUCUCCAUGCAGUUUUGGAGCACCUCAAGAGAACUUUGGUAACCUACUAAUUUACAUUCUUGAAAAUGGUUCGUCUUUCUAUCUAGCUCAACACUUAUUUUGAGCACAUGAAAAUUUGUUUAUAGGCUUUGAGAACUCUCUUGGAGCCUCAUGAAUCAAUGCUUUCUGAGCAUGAUUUAUGUUGGCAGGUUAGAUAACUCUAUGAAACAUGACACUAAAUGAUACAAGCAGAGUAGAAUAUUUGCAUAUUUAUAUCAGGAAUUUGCUUGAUGCUGUGAGGUAAGCAACUCCCACAUGGAACAUUCAUUAUUAGUCAUUGACUAUGUACAAUCAUUCACUUUUGAAAUAGACGUAGUAAAGAGUCCAAGUAUUCUGGAACAAAAUUAUAUAAUACAGUUAUUUUCGAUCUUUUGGAAAUUUUAGUUUUCCUGUUUCCUAGUCCUCUUUCCUGCUCGUUGACACCUUUAAUUGCAAGAAUCUAAUGAAAGUGAUCCCCCUAUCCUCCUGAAUGGGGCUUCUCUUGUAUUGAAUUCGCUGGAUCACUACAUAUUUAUUAUAGUAAAACGUGUUUUCUUAUUCACUGGCUUGUUGUAACAUGAAUUUUAUUUUAAAUUUUCUCUAUGUUUCUUUGAGUUAAAAAGUAACCCAAGUGAUUUCCAGUCUUGUUCUUAACAAAUGAAAUUUCAUCUUGUCACUAAAGAGGAAAAAUGCUUUUCAGGUUUCCAUAUUUAUGUCUAUCUCGAGGGAAGCUAAGGAAGGGAUGCAUAUUCUGAAUGCUAUAACAUUUCUCGAAUUGGAAUGCAACAUAAAAUAGGUGUCCAAAAUCAUGAAGGAGAUGAAGAAAGAAGUGAUAAAAAAAUUGACAAGAUUUUUGAAUUGCUGAUAGAUGCUUUAAUAUCGAUCUUUUUGAUUUUGAAUUUCGUGAAACUUAUCGCCACUCGAAUUUGAUACUAUGUGGGAAAACUAAUGAUCAUUUGACUUUAAUAUUUUGCUUUUGAGUUUAGAUUACUAGUUUGUUGCAUAA
This is a long non-coding RNA of Capsicum annuum, 2578 nucleotides long. RefSeq lists it as uncharacterized. NCBI's taxonomy places the organism in Eukaryota, Viridiplantae, Streptophyta, Magnoliopsida, Solanales, Solanaceae. The transcript has 6 exons. The record is from RefSeq and is a predicted model, not a curated record.